GAGCUCUGUAGGAAGAGGUGUUAACAGUAAGAAGAAAGGAGGAGAAGCACAUCCCAGCUAGAGAUCUUAGACUUCAGAAGGUCAGGGAUGUUGGAAGGCUGGACGACCAGGGAUCCUCUGAUCUUUAGUCUGACUGGAACCAGAGGUGUUCCUGAUUUUUAUGAUUCGAUCAUUUUUGUAGCUCAGAAGAUUGGUUUUUAUGAUUGCACAACAUUCAGUGUUUGGGUUUUGUCAUGGGACAUGGAGAGCCACCCACCCUAAUUGCCAUGAUCCUUCUUAGGACUUUGCCAUGACAACUUGUCAGAGGUUGGAGAUCUUUGCUCCUCAACUUCAAUCUCAUUACCCUUUCUCUAGCCUCUGACAUCCUUACCCUGUGCAUUGAUUCGACAAUGCCCUUCACAGAGUGCCAAGUAUAGCCCUUUAUUCUGCUUUUGAAAUCAGUUUAUUUUGUUACCUAAAAAAGGGAAAAAUUUAUCAACAUCUGUGGAUAGUAGUCUUUCCUGUGUUUUUAGGGAGAUGAACAGGCAGGGCUGAGCACUGGAGGUUUUACAGGAAUAAUAAAGUAGGGGGGGAUAAAAGUCUAUUUCCACUUAGUAGAGAAGGUGCCUCCUAAGUGCCAUGGAGGCUGGUCAUUCAGCCCCAACCUGUUUUAGGUUCAAAUCUCAUCAUGGCUGACAUUAGUUCUACUAUCUGUCAGGAAUUUUUUUUUAAUUAAGAGGAGGGUCUUGCUCUAUUGCCCAGGGUCCAGGAUGAGUGCAGCGGCAUGAUCACAGCUCACUGCAGUCUCAACCUCCUGGGUUCAAGCAAUCCUCCCACCUCAGCCUUCCAAGUAGCUGGAACCACAGUCACAUACCAUCACGCCCUGCUCUUUUUAUUUGUAGAGACAGAGUCUUUCCAUGUUGCCCAGGCCUGUCUCAAACAGGCCUGGGCUCAAGCGAUUCUCCCACGUUGGUCUCCCAAAGUGCUGGGAUUAUAAGUGUGAACCACCGCACCUGGCCUGCCAGUGCUUUUUGAAGACACAGAUAUGAAGGCAUAUUGACCAUCCUGAAUUUAUUCCACUAGCAACAGUUACACACUUAAAUAAAUGAACAUUCUGGCUGGGUGAGGUAGCUCACACCUGUAAUCCCAGCACUUUAGGAGGCUGAGGAAGGUGGAUCACUUGAAGUCAGGAGUUUGAGACCAGCCUGGCCAACGUGGUGAAACCCCACCUUUACUAAAAAUACAAAAAUUAGCUAGGUGUGGUGGCACACGCCUGUAAUCCCAGCUAUUCAGGAGGCGGAGGCAGGAGAAUUGCUUGAACCCGGGAGGCAGAGGUUGCAGUGAGCCGAGAUUGUGCCAUUGCACUCCAGCCUGGGUGACAGAGUGAGACUCUGUCUCAAAAAAAUAAUAAAUAAAUAAAUAAAUAAAUAUUCCCACUUGGAAUGAUUCAUUUGGUUGGAAGAUGUUCACCUGCAAAUAGGGAGGGCUACCUCCCUGUCCUAAAAAAUGAAAGGUAUCAUUGAGUUUUGUGUUAAAAACUCCAGGAUACCAUAUGCAUCCUGCCUCCCUUCCUCUCUCUCUUCUAUGGUGACAGGCUCUGCCUUUUCCCGUGGUACCCUAGAAACUGCGACUGCAAUGACAAUAUGGAGAGCAGGGACAGAAAGCAAGGGGAUAGGGUCUCCCUCUGUCUCCCAGGCUGGAGUGCAAUGGUGGGAUCUUGGCUCACUGCAGCUUUGAACUCCUGGGCUCAAGCGAUCCUCUUACCUCAACUUCCUGAGUAGCUGGGACUACAGGGCUUCUUCGCUGGAAUGAGGAAGAGGAGGAAGCCAAGGAAGACAGAGACUGUGGCGUCAGUGCGGUAGCCUUUCCUAGUAAAGAGACAAGCAUAGCUGAGGAGAAGGGUCAGGAAUUUUCAGGAGUAACAUGGUGUCUUGGAGCAGUCUGUCCAAACACAAUGCCUCUUUUUAGGACUUAUCUAGAGGUGACAUUAACCUUAGUUCUUGCCAGUUGCUGCCAUGCUAUCCACUUUGGAUUUAAUGGGCAAUGGUGAAUGUCUGGAGGCAGGGCCUGGCUAGAGUAGAUGUCUUAGUGUGAAUUUGUGAGCCCGUUAAUUGGGGCAAGUCCUAGAUGGAGUGAUCAGGAGUGGAGUUGGUUAGAUAAAGGAGAAUAGAAGAGGAUGAGACCUCUUUCCUAUGAAGGCCACACCUCCAUGUGCCUCCCUUCUCAAGUGAGAAGUUGGUUUCUUCUUUACAGUUGGUACUUUACUGAUGUUUCCUCCUUUAACUUUCAUAACCACCUAUGAGGUAACCAAGCUUCCAAGAGCUUAUGUAAUGAGACUACAUGCAGCACUGGAUCCCAACCCCAGACCGGGACUCCAAAGAGUGUUUUUCCUUCCUGAUUUCACACUGCAGCCUCCCUAAAAAGAGUGGAUUUCCCGGGGAAUGAAAUCUUCCUGGCUUCAUAUCUGCCCCUGAGAGAGUCUGUGAAGUCUUGCCUGAAGAAUUGGGGUGAGGGGGUUAUUCUUAAGGAGGAAAUGAUAUCCCUUACUUUUCAAAGAAAGAAUCCCAGCCAGGGACAAAGCCAGGCUCCCGGGUAAACCACAGUACGGUCAUCAGGAUGAAGAAAAAUCCAGUCACCAUUUCAGGAUAGCUAUAAAAUAAAACAGAAAGACCCACUCAGGAACUUAGAAAUUUCUCCUAGCUUUUUCACUUUGCUUCUGGAAGCUUCUGUAUUUAGAGUUUCAAUACACUAGACAUAAAACACACUCACUGCCUAACCACUAUGAAUGGCUGACAGUGAGAUGAGGAGAAGACUGAGUGGCCCCAGAAAACAUGACAUUAACCAUGUUCCUAGAGAAACUUCGGUGGAAAGGGCAAGAAAAUACAGCACUGUACAUUUGUAAAGUAAUUUCAAAUACAGCCUACAAGGAGAGUGCAGUGAAAUAGGCAGCCCCAAACACUGUGCUGGUGGGAGGAGGAACUGCUACAACCUUUUUGAGGCCAUUUGAUGAUACACAUCAGAAGCCUUAAAGUUGGUCAUUCCCUGGCCGGGUGUGGUGGCCCGCGCUCGUAAUCCCAGCACUUUGGGAGGCCGAGGUGGGCGGAUCACGAGGUCAGGAGAUGGAGACCAUCCUGGCUAACAUAGUGAAACCCCAUCUCUACUAAAAAUGCAAAAAAUUAGCUGGGUGUGGUGGCACGUGCCUGUAGUCCCAGUUACUUGGGAGGCUGAGGCAGGAGAAUCGCUUGAACCUGGGAGGUGGAGGUUGCAGUGAGCCAAGAUUGUGCCACUGCACUCUAGACUGGGCAACAGGGCGAGACUCCAUCCCCCAAAAAAACAAAAACGUAACAACAAAAAAAAAGUUGGUCAUUCCCAUCAUCUAACCAGAAAUGCAUACUGAGACAUUAAUUACCUAUUAAAAAAUGGAAGCAUCCUCUAUAUCCAAUGAUAUUUCAUGACACUGAAUACAUUUUGAUACAACUCUAUGUUAAAAUGAGAUGCAUCCACUGAUAAUCCCAUUUCCACAGCAGAGUUAAGGAUGUGGAACAUGCUGUACUGAGAGUACAAUGUUGAGUUGAGAAAGGCAAGGUAUACAACAGUUUCAGUGUGGACUGAAUUUUACCAAAAAUACAUAGGAGUUUUGCACAAAAAAGCAUGGAAAGAAGUGUUAACAUUUGUUAACAUGGGGUGCUAAGAAUCCAGUCAAUUUUAAUUUUUUUCUUAUACUGUCUUGUAUUUUUGAAAUGUUCUACAAUGAACAUGUAUUCCUUUUAUAACUUAAAGCUUUAAAUAAGACAGUGUCUACCUGGAUUGUUUUAUGCAAAGUUGUAUGUGCCAAUUGCCAUAAAAGGAGAAAUAGCACUAAAUAGGAAGCUGGGUCCCUGUGGAAAAGCUGAUAGAAGUGGCUGAGGGUUGGUUAGUGAUUUCUUGGAUGCUCUCUCUCCAAGUCUGUCUUUGAUACUGCCUUAUACCCUAAAUAUAGCACAGCGUCUCCCAUCUCCCUGGGAGUGAUAACUGGACCACUGUGGUGGUACGUCUGAGCAAUGAGAGGUGGCCUGGCUUUGGAAGGAAUUCACAUUUUCCAAGAGGGUGGCUGUGCUGUCUUUCCCUUCUUCUGCCUCUGUCUGCCCCAUGGUCAGCACUCCACCCCAUGCCAUGGCUAUACCUUGGACUCCGAAUAGAGCAAAGGGGAAGGGUGGCCACCUGAAAUCUGGGCCAGCUUGGCUUUGGCAUUAAAUGGCAUCUUAUAAAGGCCUGAUUCAGAGUUGUGGAAAAUUCUCCCAGUGUCAGGGAUUGUCAAGAACAAGGCUGCUCCUGUGCUCACUUUACCUGCUGUGUUUCUGCUGGAGGAGGAGAGAAGAGGAAUGGCUGAUUUUUACCUAAUGUCUCCCAGCUUUUCAUAUUCUUCUUGGAUCCUCUUCUCUGACAACUGUUCCCUUUUGGUCUUCUUCUUCUUGCUCAGAGAGCAGGUCUCUUUAAAACUGAGAAGGGAGAAUGAGCAAAUGAUUAAAGAAAACACACUUCUGAGGCCCAGAGAUCAAAUAUUAGGUAAAUACUAAACCACUUGCCUGCUGUGGUCACUUUUCUCCUCUUUCACAUGCCCUAUCCCUCUAUCCCCCACCUAUUCAUAUGGCUUUUAUCUGCCACGUUAUCCAGCCUCUCAUCAACCUUCUCCCCUAGCCUACUGGGAAUAUCCAUCUGGGUCUGUCUCUGGUAUAUUGGUGUGAAGUGAUGUCUCAGGGACUUGUGCAAGUGUAUUCGUGUGGGGUCAUUUCUACCUACUUGUCUUUUUACAUAAGUAAAAUAAUCAGUGUAAUGUGGUACAUGUGUCUAGAUGUAUAAACUAAAACUUUUAUUCCACUGUGUGUCUAGAUGUUAUAACUAACAUUUUUACUCCAGAGAAGCUUUGUCUCUAGCCAAACAAACACACAAACAUCUGCAUAUAUGGAACACACAGUGUUAGUUUUAUAUUAGCAAUACUGGAGAAGAAGUAUAUAAUUAUCAUUGGUUUGACAACAGUCUGAGUAAAAAGAAAAGUCAGAGAACAUUUCUUGACCAAUGGGAGCAUUGGGUUAUAUGGACUAAUAGCAAAACAUUAUAUUAUCUUCCCUUAUGUGUUUGAAACUGAUCAAAUUUGGAGUAGACUGACUUGUUAUUUUGAGGCAUAUGAGCAUAUUUUAUUCAGGCUACUAAGUAUAAAUCACCCAUGCCUAUAAAGUUAAACCUCAUGCAAA
This is a long non-coding RNA of Pongo pygmaeus (Bornean orangutan), 5210 nucleotides long. RefSeq lists it as uncharacterized. The record is from RefSeq and is a predicted model, not a curated record. The transcript is spliced from 3 exons. NCBI's taxonomy places the organism in Eukaryota, Metazoa, Chordata, Mammalia, Primates, Hominidae.